GUCAAUGAUGAGCUGGCAUGUAUUCUGAAUCUAAAGUUGAUUAUAAACCACUUUAGCUCUAGAAUUACUCUGAGACCUGAAAGAAAAAAAGUACUGAGAUCUGGCUAUGUGUGAGUCUGAGAUGUCACGAUUUCCGGAUGGUGAAUGGGAUCUCUGCUUUUUUCUUGGAAGGGCACACAGCAGAAAGACGUUACUAUCAAGUCAGAUGCGCCUGACACCCUGUUGCUGGAGAAGCAUGCCGAUUAUAUUGCUUCCUAUGGCUCAAAGAAAGAUGAUUAUGAAUACUGCAUGUCUGAAUACCUGAGAAUGAGCGGCGUCUAUUGGGGCCUGACUGUGAUGGACCUCAUGGGACAGCUUCAUCGCAUGAACCGAGAAGAAAUCCUGGUGUUUAUCAAGUCGUGCCAGCAUGAGUGUGGGGGAAUAAGUGCUAGCAUUGGGCACGACCCCCACCUUCUGUACACGCUCAGUGCUGUCCAGAUUCUUACUCUGUAUGACAGUGUUCAUGUUAUCAACGUAGAUAAGGUCGUGGCCUAUGUUCAGAGCCUACAGAAAGAAGAUGGCUCCUUUGCUGGAGACAUUUGGGGUCCCACUAAGCAGUUGGUCUAACUGGAAUAAAAUGGCCUGCUGGAAGUCCCAGCAUGCCCCGUGCUGGCUUGUCAGCACACCACACUAAAAGAUAAGGAGAAAUUGAUACAAGAUUCUCAUUUUGUGCGGUGGCAACUUUGGCUCUUUUGGGCAAGCUUGAUGCUAUUAAUGUGGAAAAGGCGAUUGAGUUUGUUUUGUCCUGCAUGAACUUUGAUGGUGGAUUUGGGUGCAGACCAGGCUCUGAAUCUCACGCUGGGCAGAUCUAUUGUUGCACAGGAUUCCUGGCCAUAACUAGUCAGUUGCACCAAGUGAACUCCGACCUACUUGGUUGGUGGCUUUGUGAGCGGCAGUUGCCCUCAGGCGGACUCAAUGGAAGACCCGAGAAGUUACCAGAUGUGUGCUAUUCAUGGUGGGUGUUGGCCUCCCUAAAGAUCAUCGGGAGACUUCAUUGGAUUGACAGAGAAAAGCUUCGAAGUUUCAUCUUAGCGUGUCAAGAUGAAGAGACGGGAGGAUUUGCAGACAGACCAGGAGAUAUGGUGGAUCCCUUUCAUACCUUAUUUGGCAUUGCUGGGUUGUCACUUCUGGGAGAAGAGCAGAUCAAGCCUGUUAGCCCUGUCUUCUGUAUGCCAGAAGAGGUGCUUCAGAGGGUGAAUGUCCAGCCUGAGCUAGUGAGCUAGUCAGAUGGGAGAGAUGCUGUAGUGUGCAAUAUGAAUUACUGCUGUAUUUGAAGUGUUUAUCAAACCUAGACGUGACUUAAUAUUUUGUAUAUCAUAUGUUAAUGAUAAAUUAUAUAAGUAUUGUAAAAUAAAUAUGUUGUAUUUAGAUCUUUAGUCUUCUGAGUCCAGUUUUUGUUAGUCCUAUUUAGAGCUGGUAUUUAACUGAUGCCUCCCCGUGUCCUAUUGUCGUGUAACAAUCAAUGAUGGAAAGUGAUUUCUGUUAAUAAAACUGAUGAGUGAAACUCAUAAUUUAAAUAAAGGUCAAAAUCAGUG
Molecule: RNA transcript, 1574 nt
Organism: Mus musculus (house mouse)
Lineage: Eukaryota; Metazoa; Chordata; Mammalia; Rodentia; Muridae
Gene: Rabggtb
Gene name: Rab geranylgeranyl transferase, b subunit
Exons: 9
Source: RefSeq, marked validated